UUCCAUUCAUCUUCCUCAUCAAUAAUCUUGAUCUGUUUCACAUUUUCACACGUGGAAACAAGCUGAAUCGCAUCUGCCAUCAUCACAAGGUGCAAAUUCGAUUUCCUUAAUUGUGUAAAUUGUUAUAUGCGUUUUGUAGAUCAUUCAACGUAGAUUAACAUGAUGCUUAUAGUUUUGAAUUUGGUGGAGAAUUGUGAGAGAAAUCUGGAUCUAAAGUUUGAUGAGCAUUUCUUUUUUUGUUCGAUUUGCUUUGUGUGUUG
Molecule: long non-coding RNA, 260 nt
Filed under: Lathyrus oleraceus (garden pea)
Lineage: Eukaryota; Viridiplantae; Streptophyta; Magnoliopsida; Fabales; Fabaceae
Description: Pisum sativum (pea) long non-coding RNA (PSAT_LNC004503)
Source: RNAcentral